AGGAGACAGCUCCAUAAGCCCCGCCCUUCCCCCUUUAACGCCAGCCUCUUGCGGCCAGCCCCACAGGCCUAGAACACUACUGCAUAAUAAAAAUGACCACUGGCCGUUUUUUUCCUUCUCUCACUCCCUUCGAGUAGUUAA
Caenorhabditis elegans is the source of this 141-nucleotide non-coding RNA. The record is from Ensembl. NCBI's taxonomy places the organism in Eukaryota, Metazoa, Nematoda, Chromadorea, Rhabditida, Rhabditidae.